GAUGAACGCUAGCGAUAGGCUUAACACAUGCAAGUCGAGGGGCAGCAUGGUCUUAGCUUGCUAAGACUGAUGGCGACCGGCGCACGGGUGCGUAACGCGUAUGCAACUUGCCUCACAGAGGGGGAUAACCCGUCGAAAGACGGACUAAUACCGCGUACACUCUAUUUUGGGCAUCCAAGGUAGAGGAAAUGAAAUUCGCUGUGAGAUAGGCAUGCGUCCCAUUAGCUAGUUGGUGAGGUAACGGCUCACCAAGGCGACGAUGGGUAGGGGAACUGAGAGGGUGGAACCCCAAACUGGGACUGGGAACACGACCAGACUCCCACGGGAGGCAGGCGGUAGGGAUAGUGGGCAAUGGGCGAGAGGCUGAAACCGGCAAGGCGGGGGAAGGAAUGCCGGCUUAUGGAAUGUAAACCUUUUUUGGUAGGGAAUAAAGAGGGGCACGUGUGCCCCAGUGAAUGUACCCUACGAAUAAGCAUCGGCUAACUCCGUG
This 490-nucleotide ribosomal RNA is filed under the name uncultured bacterium. RNAcentral describes it as "partial 16S ribosomal RNA". It matches the Rfam family "Bacterial small subunit ribosomal RNA", at positions 28 to 507 of the family's 1533-position model. The record is from RNAcentral.